Molecule: ribosomal RNA, 497 nt
Filed under: uncultured bacterium
Lineage: Bacteria
Description: partial 16S ribosomal RNA
Rfam family: Bacterial small subunit ribosomal RNA
Source: RNAcentral
GUUGAACGCUGGCGGCGUGCCUAAUACAUGCAAGUCGAGCGAACAGACGAGGAGCUUGCUCCCCUGACGUUAGCGGCGGCCGGGUGAGUAACACGUGGAUAACCUACUUAUAAGACUGGGAUAACUUCGGGAAACCGGAGCUAAUACCGGAUAAUAUAUUGAACCGCAUGGUUCAAUAGUGAAAGACGGUUUUGCUGUCACUUUUAGAUGGAUCCGCGCCGCAUUAGCUAGUUGGUAAGGUAACGGCUUACCAAGGCAACGAUGCGUAGCCGACCUGAGAGGGUGAUCGGCCACACUGGAACUGAGACACGGUCCAGACUCCUACGGGAGGCAGCAGUAGGGAAUCUUCCGCAAUGGGCGAAAGCCUGACGGAGCAACGCCGCGUGAGUGAUGAAGGUCUUCGGAUCGUAAAACUCUGUUAUUAGGGAAGAACAAAUGUGUAAGUAACUAUGCACGUCUUGACGGUACCUAAUCAGAAAGCCACGGCUAACUACGUG